CCUACGGGUGGCAGCAGUGAGGAAUAUUGGUCAAUGGGCGCGAGCCUGAACCAGCCAAGUCGCGUGAGGGAAGACGGUCCUAUGGAUUGUAAACCUCUUUUGUCGGGGAGCAAAAGACGCCACGCGUGUCGUUCCGCGCGUACCCCACGAAAACGCAUCGGCUAACUCCGUGCCAGCAGCCGCGGUAAUACGGAGGAUGCGAGCGUUAUCCGGAUUUAUUGGGUUUAAAGGGUGCGCAGGCGGAAGAUCAGGUCAGCGGUAAAAUUGAGGGGCUCAACCUCUUCGAGCCGUUGAAACUGGUUGGCUGGAGUGAGUGAGAGGUAUGCGGAAUGCGUGGUGUAGCGGUGAAAUGCAUAGAUAUCACGCAGAACUCCGAUUGCGAAGGCAGCAUACCGGAGCGCAACUGACGCUCAUGCACGAAAGUGUGGGUAUCGAACAGGAUUAGAUACCCUGGUAGUC
RNAcentral lists this ribosomal RNA (459 nucleotides) under uncultured bacterium. Its description in RNAcentral is "partial 16S ribosomal RNA". It matches the Rfam family "Bacterial small subunit ribosomal RNA", at positions 338 to 795 of the family's 1533-position model. The record is from RNAcentral.